CCUACGGGUGGCAGCAGUGGGGAAUAUUGCGCAAUGGGCGAAAGCCUGACGCAGCGACGCCGCGUGAGGGAUGAAGGUCUUCGGAUCGUAAACCUCUGUCAGCAGGGAAGAACGGUCACUGUGCUAAUCAGCAGUGAAUUGACGGUACCUGCAAAGGAAGCACCGGCUAACUCCGUGCCAGCAGCCGCGGUAAUACGGAGGGUGCGAGCGUUAAUCGGAAUUACUGGGCGUAAAGCGCUCGUAGGCGGUAUGUCAAGUCAAGGGGGAAAUCCCCGCGCUAAACGUGGGAACUGCCUUUGAAACUGGCAAACUGGAGUGUGUGAGAGGAUAGUGGAAUUCCAGGGGUAGGAGUGAAAUCCGUAGAUAUCUGGAGGAACAGCAGUGGCGAAGGCGACUAUCUGGCACAUAACUGACGCUGAGGAGCGAAAGCGUGGGUAGCAAACAGGAUUAGAUACCCCAGUAGUC
Molecule: ribosomal RNA, 465 nt
Filed under: uncultured bacterium
Lineage: Bacteria
Description: partial 16S ribosomal RNA
Rfam family: Bacterial small subunit ribosomal RNA
Source: RNAcentral